GACGAACGCUGGCGGCGUGCUUAACACAUGCAAGUCGAACGGAAAGGCCCUGCUUUUGUGGGGUGCUCGAGUGGCGAACGGGUGAGUAACACGUGAGUAACCUGCCCUUGACUUUGGGAUAACUUCAGGAAACUGGGGCUAAUACCGGAUAGGAGCUCCUGCUGCAUGGUGGGGGUUGGAAAGUUUCGGCGGUUCGGGAUGGACUCGCGGCUUAUCAGCUUGUUGGUGGGGUAGUGGCUUACCAAGGCUUUGACGGGUAGCCGGCCUGAGAGGGUGACCGGCCACAUUGGGACUGAGAUACGGCCCAGACUCCUACGGGAGGCAGCAGUGGGGAAUAUUGCACAAUGGGCGGAAGCCUGAUGCAGCAACGCCGCGUGCGGGGUGACGGCCUUCGGGUUGUAAACCGCUUUCGCCUGUGACGAAGCGUGAGUGACGGUAAUGAGUAAAGAAGCACCGGCUAACUACGUG
This 468-nucleotide ribosomal RNA is filed under the name uncultured bacterium. Its description in RNAcentral is "partial 16S ribosomal RNA". It matches the Rfam family "Bacterial small subunit ribosomal RNA", at positions 28 to 507 of the family's 1533-position model. The record is from RNAcentral.